Molecule: long non-coding RNA, 335 nt
Filed under: Vigna radiata
Lineage: Eukaryota; Viridiplantae; Streptophyta; Magnoliopsida; Fabales; Fabaceae
Description: long non-coding RNA (VRAD_LNC011793)
Source: RNAcentral
GAGAAUCUUUGUCAAAUUGUCUAGCUUUUGAGUCAGAAGAUGAUUCUGAGCUAGCAUAGCUGUGGGCAAGUGCAAAACUCCUCUCUUCUGAAUAGGUGCGCCCCUUUCACUGUAAGUUUCCUGCUCAUUAGCAGCCAUACUCUCAAUCAAGUCAUAGGCUUCAUCUUCAGUCUUCCUUUUGAUAUCACCUCCAGCUAAGGCGUCAAGCAUCACCUUAGACUGCAUGUUCAGACCACCUAAGUAAGCAAGAACUAUAGUAGUCUUGUCAAAACCAUGGACUAGUGUCUUCCUCAAUAAGCCCUUGAAUCUUUCCCAGGCUUGACCAAGAGUCUCCU